Molecule: ribosomal RNA, 166 nt
Filed under: Odontites viscosus
Lineage: Eukaryota; Viridiplantae; Streptophyta; Magnoliopsida; Lamiales; Orobanchaceae
Description: 5.8S ribosomal RNA
Rfam family: 5.8S ribosomal RNA
About the family: 5.8S ribosomal RNA (5.8S rRNA) is a component of the large subunit of the eukaryotic ribosome. It is transcribed by RNA polymerase I as part of the 45S precursor that also contains 18S and 28S rRNA. Functionally, it is thought that 5.8S rRNA may be involved in ribosome translocation.
Source: RNAcentral
AAAGUCUAAACGACUCUCGGCAACGGAUAUCUCGGCUCUCGCAUCGAUGAAGAACGUAGCGAAAUGCGAUACUUGGUGUGAAUUGCAGAAUCCCGUGAACCAUCGAGUCUUUGAACGCAAGUUGCGCCUGAAACCAUUUGGUUGAGGGCACGUCUGCCUGGGCGUC